GGGUUGUGAGGUUAAGCGACUAAGCGUACACGGUGGAUGCCCUGGCAGUCAGAGGCGAUGAAGGGCGUGCUAAUCUGCGAUAAGCGCCGGUAAGGUGAUAUGAACCGUUAUAACCGGCGAUACCCGAAUGGGGAAACCCAGUGUGAUUCGUCACACUAUCAUUAACUGAAUCCAUAGGUUAAUGAGGCGAACCGGGGGAACUGAAACAUCUAAGUACCCCGAGGAAAAGAAAUCAACCGAGAUUCCCCCAGUAGCGGCGAGCGAACGGGGAGGAGCCCAGAGCCUGAAUCAGCAUGUGUGUUAGUGGAAGCGUCUGGAAAGGCGCGCGAUACAGGGUGACAGCCCCGUACACAAAAGCGUAUGUGCUGUGAGCUCGAUGAGUAGGGCGGGACACGUGGUAUCCUGUCUGAAUAUGGGGGGACCAUCCUCCAAGGCUAAAUACUCCUGACUGACCGAUAGUGAACCAGUACCGUGAGGGAAAGGCGAAAAGAACCCCGGCGAGGGGAGUGAAAAAGAACCUGAAACCGUGUACGUACAAGCAGUGGGAGCACCCUUUGGGGUGUGACUGCGUACCUUUUGUAUAAUGGGUCAGCGACUUAUAUUCUGUAGC
Molecule: ribosomal RNA, 610 nt
Filed under: Salmonella enterica subsp. enterica serovar Muenchen
Lineage: Bacteria; Pseudomonadati; Pseudomonadota; Gammaproteobacteria; Enterobacterales; Enterobacteriaceae
Description: partial 23S ribosomal RNA
Rfam family: Bacterial large subunit ribosomal RNA
Source: RNAcentral